Molecule: ribosomal RNA, 1459 nt
Filed under: Candidatus Hodgkinia cicadicola
Lineage: Bacteria; Pseudomonadati; Pseudomonadota; Alphaproteobacteria; Hyphomicrobiales
Description: bacterial SSU rRNA
Rfam family: Bacterial small subunit ribosomal RNA
Source: RNAcentral
AAUGCUGGCGGCAGGCCUAACACAUGCAAGUCGAGCGAACAACCUCAAUAGGGUUGUUAGCGGCGAACGGGUGAGUAACACGUGAGGAUCUGCCUUGUUCUAUAGGAUAGCAAAGAGAAAUCUUUGGUAAUACUGUAUGACUCCAAGAUCUUGGUAAAGAUCUCAAAUCGGAACAAGAUGAACUUGCGCUAGAUUAGCUAGUUGGUGGGGUAAAGGCCUACCAAGGCAAUGAUCUAUAGCUGGUCUGGAAGGAUGGACAGCCACAUUGGGACUGAGACAAGGCCCAACUCUCUUAGGAGAGCAGCAGUGGGGAAUAUUGGACAAUGGGCGAAAGCCUGAUCCAGCCAUGCCGCAUGAGUGACUGAAGGUCUUUGGACUGUAAAACUCUUUUGCCAACGAACUAAUGAUGAUAGGUUGGUGAAUAAGCUCCGGCCAACUUCGUGCCAGCAGCCGCGGUAAUACGAGGGGAGCGAGUGUUGUUCGGUUUUAUUGGGCGUAAAGGGUGUUCAGGUUGUUCAAUAAGUUGAUCUCUAAAUCUUGGAACUCAACCCCAUUCAAGGGGUCAAUACUGUUGGACUUGAGCUUACAAGGGACGAAUGGAAUUCCAAGUGUAGAGGUGAAAUUCGUUGAUAUUUGGGGGAACACCGGAGGCGAAAGCGAUUCGUCAUACUAAGCUGACACUGAAGACACGAAAGCAUGGGGAGCAAACAGGAUUUAGAUACCCUGGUAGUCCAUGCCCUAAACGAUGAGUGCUAACAGUCUAGAGCCAACUUGUUGGCUGAAAUGCAAGGACCUUGGGUCCAAGCAUCCAACAAAGUUAUCGGUCUCAACAUUGUACAGCUAACGCAUUAAGCACUCCGCCUGGGGAUUACGACCGCAAGGUUAAAACUCAAAGGAAUUGACGGAGACCCGCACAAGCGGUGGAGCAUGUGGUUUAAUUCGAAUCUACACGAAGAACCUUACCAGCUCUUGACAUUUUUGGCUAAACAUGUUAGAAAUAAUAUGCCGCUUACAAUUGUAAGAAUGCCUUGAACAGGUGCUGCAUGGCUGUUGUCAGCACGUGUCGUGAGAUGUAUGGUUAAGUUCCAUAACGAGCGUAACCCUUGCUCAUAGUUGCCGAAACAAAUAGGCUCUCUAUGAGGACUGCUAAUUAAAAGUUAGAGGAAGGUGAGGAUCACAACAAGUCAUCAUGGCCCUUAUGGGCUGGGCUACACACGUGCUACAAUGGCAACUACAAAGAGUCGCAAUAUCGUGAGGUGGAGCUAAUCUCAAAAAAGUUGUCUUAGUUCGGAUUGUACUCUGCAACUCGAGUACAUGAAGUAGGAAUCGCUAGUAAUCGUGGAUCAGCAUGCCACGGUGAAUACGUUCUCGGGUCUUGUACACACCGCCCGUCACACCAUGGGAAUCGAUUUUAUCCGAAAUUUCUAGAUUUAGAAAUCAAUGUAAGAUUGGUGACCGA